CUUUACCUUCCUCCUUCAACUCGAUAGCCUUUUUUAAUUUUUAGAUUCUCCUAUUUAUUUUAUCCACCUCUCUGGUUUUGAGCUUCAUUUCUUUAUUACUGAAAUUCGAAUAAAAAAGCAACAUAUCAUGGGCAAGGGUCUUGGUCUCUACACUGAAAAUCGACAAGAAAGCCAGAGGUAUAAAAUUACCAUUUUUUUUAAAAACAAGAAAGCUUUAACGUUGUAAUAUUUAUGUCUAAUUUUUAAAUUUUUG
RNAcentral lists this long non-coding RNA (253 nucleotides) under Gossypium barbadense (sea-island cotton). RNAcentral's name for it is "long non-coding RNA (GBAR_LNC015332)". Lineage: Eukaryota; Viridiplantae; Streptophyta; Magnoliopsida; Malvales; Malvaceae. The record is from RNAcentral.